GGACAAUAUUAGACUAUUUGUGUGUACCGAUAGUCUGAUUGUCUGCCUACAGCCUUUUCGCAGUAGGCUUCUGGGCCUAUUUUUGUUUUAACAGGGCAUCCUUUUAUCAGUGCCAGGUCCUGGCCCUAAAUAUCCCCAACAGUGGAUUAGUGAAUGGAGUUUAUUUAAAGGAGACGGGCCAUGCAGAGACCAGUCAGUGUGUCGGAACCGACAUAGGACUCAGGAUGCAGAACAUAUACAUGCAGAGCAAUGAGCACUUUGAAGUUUUUACCACCGUCUUCUCUCCACAAGUAGGCAGAGCAAGACAUCGAUACAGAAAUGAGGAACCAGAUAAGGUGGUGGUGACACACAGAUACGUCCCCCAGUGGCCUGAUGAAGUGGAGCUGACACAAGGUGAUGUCAUCCAAGUCUUUUCCAGACAGGAGGAGGAGAGGUGGUUUGGGCGGCUGCAGAAUGGACAGCAGGGCUACUUCCCUGCUUCCUGUGUCCUCGAGCUCAAUCACAACCUACACCAUAGGGAUGAAGCCUCCAAGAAUGGCAAAGGCUUACGACGACACAGUUCAGUUCACGUUGGGUCUGCAGGGCUCCUUGGGGACUUUGCAGGUGGAGGCAGGCCACAGACCCCAAGGGGAGGGGAGGAGGGUCCCUUCCUGACCCUCAAGCAUGAGGCCCAGGCUUCGGCCCCCAGCUCACCCAGCCUGCUCCACAGGAUCCUGUCCAAACAUCGCAGGAGGAGCCACUGCCAGGGCUCCAGCAACAGGGCCUUCGAACCUGACUGAACCGCCCCCAACCUGCAGGAGGGCACAGCACUCAUCCCACAGCGGGAUGUCCCAUACAUAAAUGUAAUAUAUUAACAUACAUUACAUUGUACUACAGUUUACUCAGCACAUACUGUAGAAGCUAAUGCUUCUAAUUGGCUGAAAAGCAUUCAUUUCAUCAUACUUGUAUCAUUUUGCUAAACACAGGUUGCUAACCAACAACAAGUUCACUUUACUCUAAACUGAUGAGGUUAUUGCAAAUGAAAUUGCCUAUAUUGAAAGGAAAUCAGGGAGGGAGGGAAUCAGCGUAAUUCAGAAAAAAAAAUGUACAAUAUGAAUUUGAUUUAGUAUUUAAAUAGUAUUUAACGUUAAAAUGUGAAUCUUUCAUUACCCAGUUUAUUCAGCCCAUAUAUGUAUGAUAAACUGUAAAAUUAAUCUGUUUUAAAUAAAUAAUUUUAUGUGAUUGCA
This 1226-nucleotide long non-coding RNA is filed under the name Astyanax mexicanus (Mexican tetra). Its description in RNAcentral is "lncRNA (ENSAMXG00005012470.1)". Lineage: Eukaryota; Metazoa; Chordata; Actinopteri; Characiformes; Acestrorhamphidae. The record is from RNAcentral.